CCCGCCCGCCAGUUGGUCGCCUCCUGCAGCACCCUGGAGGCCCAGGGACGGCGGGGCGGCGGCUCAGGGGAUCCCGGGCGCGGCCCACACCUGGGACAAUGAGCAGGAACCCAGACUUGAGGGACAGGACUUCUCUGUAGGCAGAGAAAGGGUGUGGUAAAGGAAUUACUAAAGGCAUAGGACUGACCCAAAGAAAGAUGAACCUGCCAGUAACAGAUGAUAAAAACCAAGACACGGAAAGAGUUACUCUGCCUGAGGGAGGAUAUAUGGCUCCAGAGUUUUAGAAAAGGCUCCUGAUCGUCACACUGGAUCCAAACAUGUAAAAGGCUACCUGCAGCAUCUCUGGGAGGAUGACAAGGACCUGCCACAACUGGUAGUGCCUGCUGGCCAAGAAUGAUCUGUGCCAACACGCCUGCUUAGAAUCGCAGAACAGGGCAUAACCUAAACUUGUCCAGGGACACAGCGGCCUCUAACACUGAAAGAUUCCCUCCUUCAGGGAAAGCCCACUUUUCAGUCUUAUUAAGGCAAUGUGACUUCGCUAGACACCUCGAAGCAGUAUAAAAGUCUUUCCCAUCUCCCUCCUGCCAGGGACUGCAGGGCUCACACUCAAGACAACCGGGGGCCAGGUGCUACCUUGCAAGCAGGAGACCCUCAGAAGCCCCCUGCCUUACCCAGGAAAGCCGGAUCACAGCACAGCCCUGCACUCUCUGGCAAACCUCUGAAGGUUUGAGGUGCUAAGAGGAAAGGAGGUCCGAGAUCGCCGAGGUAGGCUCGGGUUCCUAACCGAGAGUAAAGAGUCACUGCCAGCUCGGGCUGAGAGUAUCACGGACGUGAGGUAGGCAUCGCGCGGCCCAGUCCUAGAUGCGCCCAGCGAAGGAGCAGAGGGGCAGGGUCACGGCAUAGGACAGACACCGGCUUCUCGUGCAGCGUCGGUCCCUGCUCAGGCCUCCCUGUCCCCUAACGGGGGUCUCGGGCUCCACAGCGCCCCUCGCCGCCCUCCCGUGCUCCUCACCGUCUCCAUUUCAAGAGGCGCUGACUGGGUUCGCUCGCUUUAGGAAGCUCUCUGAUAGCGGGGCAGAAGGGGCGGAGGGGGCAGAGGCCCCGCCCCGCAUCCGGUACCGCGACACCACUUCCGCCUACGUCAGAUACACGCAAGCCAAGGGCGGAAGGCGGGGACACCACUCUUCCGGCGUGGCCUGGCCUGCGUAACCGCCCUCCCCUGGGUGCUCUCGGACUUUACCGAUCCGCUGCCGGCGAGGGUGACUGGACGGAGCCGCUUGUAUUUAAAAUGUUCUUUUUUUAUUUGUCGUUUAAAAACAAACUUGGAAGAAGCAAAAUCCAAAACUUGCCCUUUGCCUCUUGCAACAUAAAUUAUGUACAGUUCAGAAUGAUCGCUGAUACAAAACAUGCCAAGGACAGGGCGCUGGGGGUGGAGGGAGAGAGGGCGCUUUAAAAAAGGGAAUCAUUUCAUCCGUUGUUACGAAGGACCAAUCUUGCUGUACAGGAUACACACAA
Long non-coding RNA from Mustela erminea (ermine), 1515 nucleotides. RefSeq lists it as uncharacterized. The transcript has 2 exons. The record is from RefSeq and is a predicted model, not a curated record. Lineage: Eukaryota; Metazoa; Chordata; Mammalia; Carnivora; Mustelidae.